AGUGAAACUUGGCGGUAGCCUAACACAUGCAAGUGAACGGCGCACGGAGACCUGCCCCUUGGGAUUCCCCGUUGAGAAUGCAUCGGAAUCUACUCUUUCGUGGGGGAUAACGUAGGGAAACUUACGCUAAUACCGCAUACGACCUACGGGUGAAACCGGGGACCUUCGGGCCUGGGCGAAAGAAUGAGCCGAUGCCGAUUAGCUAGUUGGCGGGGUAAGAGCCCACCAAGGCGACGAUCGGUGCUGGUCUGAGAGGAUGAUCAGCCACACUGGAACUGGACACGGUCCAGACUCCUACGGGAGGCAGCAGUGGGGAAUAUUGGACAAUGGGCGCAAGCCUGAUCCAGCCAUACCGCGUGGGUGAAGAAGGCCUUCGGGUUGUAAAGCCCUUUUGUUGGGAAAGAAAAGCAGUCGGUUAAUACCCGGUUGUUCUGACGUACCCAAGAAUA
RNAcentral lists this ribosomal RNA (449 nucleotides) under Stenotrophomonas sp. oral taxon G05. RNAcentral describes it as "bacterial SSU rRNA". It matches the Rfam family "Bacterial small subunit ribosomal RNA", at positions 29 to 487 of the family's 1533-position model. Lineage: Bacteria; Pseudomonadati; Pseudomonadota; Gammaproteobacteria; Lysobacterales; Lysobacteraceae. The record is from RNAcentral.